Long non-coding RNA from Felis catus (domestic cat), 3232 nucleotides. RefSeq lists it as uncharacterized. The transcript has 10 exons. Lineage: Eukaryota; Metazoa; Chordata; Mammalia; Carnivora; Felidae. The record is from RefSeq and is a predicted model, not a curated record.
CGUGGGAGGAGGGGCGGGAGGGAGGAGCGGGUCCCGCCGCGGGGCCUGCAGGAAUCGCUGGCUCUGGCUGCCACCUAGCGGACGGGAGCCGCGCCCGGGAGGCGCACAGCCGGGUCUCUCCUCCCCUCCCCGCAGGCAGCCUGCGCCUUUUCUCCAAACGGAGACAGCACUUUGAAAAUUCUUUCAAUGGAUUUUUUUCCUUGAAAGAUCGUACUGGGGAAAAUGAUACUUCUAUUAGUUACAUAUUCUCCAAUAGCACACUCGCACCCCCCUCGUUUUGAGAUCGCUCCCUAGGCAGGCUCAGGCGGGUGCGGAGCUGUGCGGAGUGACAAAGCCGCCGCGGCAGCCGCUGGGGGUGGGAGCCGCGCUCGCCUGCCCGCCCUUCGACUCGGGAGAGCGUAAAAGUUUGUCUCAGCUCCAGCAUCCCGAUCCUCAACACGCCCUCAGGUAAAGGUGGGAGCAAAUGGCCACGCUGUAUUGACAGAGACAGGGAUUGAGAAACGGAAAUACCACCACCCUCCAGCCAAACUUGUGAGGACUGAUUGCAGGGAAACUGGUGCUCCAGAUGUUGCACUAGAGGCGCUGCAAGUGUGAGCAGGUGGCAUUGGGCCUGCAUCACAGGUUGUAGCAGAUGUUCUCAACGUUUCUAUCGAGACCUCCUUAUAUCCACUUGCAAGAGGAGCCCAGGAGCCUCAUCCCUGUGGUAGCUACCAUUCUCUGAUAUAAGCUGUUGUUCACCAGGGAGCUUUGGCAAGAGAAUUGGCCAGAUCAGCGAGUUCAUCUCCCUUGGGGAAAAACAACUUGAAGCUCAUCUCUGUUGAAGAGGGAAUCGUUCCAAAUGUAUCUGUAAAUUUGGUCUGUGGAGGAGGUGAGUUCAGGAUCUUCUGUGCUGCCAUCUUGGAUUGCCUCUGGAGAUAAUUAAUUUAAUCAAGUAAUUUCUUCAGGGUAUGCAUUUCUUUGUUGUAAUCAUUAUCAACUUCACACACUGAGGCCAAAUCAUUCCUUAAAGUAGCUAUUUCAACUUAUGACUCAACCAGCACUCUAAUGAUAGUUGUUUUGGUGGAGGGACUGAUUCUAGAGCUUCCUACUCUGCCAUCUUCCAUGACACUGCUCCCUGCCAUGUCCACUCUUAAAAGUGUUCCAGUUUGGAAAAUAAUUUUUUUGGUCACCCAUUGGAUUAAUGGGAAAAACAGGAACUUCACUCUGAAUUUCUCCUGAAAUUUUAAUUUAAAGUUUACUUUUUCAAGACUCAUUUUGAAUUACAGAGAUCAUCUUCUACCUGUAGCCUCUUUUGGGAGGAUUUCCAAAAGAAUCCACUUCAAGGAAACACAGACUUGAAAACUCUCCUCCAUGGUUUUGUCUGAACUGGCUGCCAUUCUGCAGCACGCACUGGAUCCAGUUGCUGAAGUGGGGGAACCUGAGAGGUGCGUGAGCUGGCAAGAGUGACCAUUUAGGCGCGUGAGUCAAGUGGGCCUGCGUGAAAGGAUGUAGAUGUACUGUCUGUAGGACAGGGGUAGACUGAAUACCUGCUUCACUGAAUACCUGCUUCACAUCACCUUUCACAUUUUCUUAUUGGAAAGACAGCCGUUGGAGAAUCAUCUUGUUACCAUCAGCAAAAAUGCAAACAAAUCAAGACAUUAAGAAUGCCACAGUGGCCAGCAGUUAAUGAUGCCAGUGUUACACAAGCUUCGGCAAAGUUUUCAAGACAGUGUGCCUCACUAGCCAUAAAUCAGGAAAGAUUGAACUUAUCCUUUUUUGUCUCAGCUGUUCCUUAAAUCAAUGCAACCCCUCCAAAUUAAUGUGAAUUGAAACAUGCAUUGUCUUUUCAGCUUAAUUGAGUACUUACUAUGUGUGAAUCACUGCACAAAAUAGGGGAGGGAAAAUGAGGGAGACAAUUAGGAUGUGUUUCCUGCCUUCAAUGGAUUUACAAUUAGUUUCAGGGCACUUUUUUUCUUCUGCUCUUAAUUAAGUGUGUCCCUAAGAUAGAAAACAAAUGAAUGGAAAAGUGUAUUCUGCAAGUAUUUUAAAUCCCUUUAAUAAAACACAAAACAAAACAAAACAAAACAAAACAAAAUAAUCUAAUGUGGGCAACUCAGGACAUCUUCCAUUUUUUUGGAGUUUCAAUAGGUAGGAUUUAUUUCAUUGAUUUUAUAAAUAUUCAGUAGAUGUUAGAGAUAUUAACACAUUAUAGUUGGAGUUAAUUGAAUUAAAUUCUUUUUUUUCCCCUUUAGGUGUAGAUUGUCUGUUGGAAAAGUAUAUUGUGUUUGUACAUUUCUUGCAGAGUAGGUAGAUGAAUUACAUCUGUUGUCUCUGUAGGCCUCUACCUUCUGUGCCCUAGGGGCCUGACAUUCUGAGUAAGUUAUUAGCGUGGGGAAGGGAAGAUUUGGAUCAAACUUGGGAAAGCUCAUGGACCCAAGAUAGGGCAGGGAAGGAGCAAAACAGACCUAGGCAGUGACUCUGUAGGAAAACUUGGCUGUUUUAGUAUUCAUUGUGUUGUCUUCUAUGUUCCAAAAUUACUGUACAGUUUUUUCAAAAAUUUAUUUCUGAUCUGGGAAUAAGUCAUGAUUUUUCCAAUGUUAAGGCACUAAUAUGACUGCAGACACCAGACAUUUUAUGUAGUGUAUGUAACACAUUUUAGCAUGUACGAACCAACAAUAGACAUGUCUUUGUCUUCAGUAGUGUCCAUCUGAAUUGAAAAUGUGCCAGCUUUUUUUUUCUUAAAAUCAUUAUCAACAGACUUCUUAAUUAAGCUGCCAAUACAUACUGCCAAUAGCACCAUGUGCCCUUUGAGAAAUGAAUCGUGUAAGUGCUGUUUCCCUCUUACUGAAUAAACAAUGUUGCUCCAUAGAAAGUGGAUUUAAAAUGUUCUUUGAAUAGGAAAUUAUAUUGCUUCCGAAAGAAUUUGAUAAGAAUUCUCAUACCUUCCUUUCUUUACUUAAUUUCCAAAAACUUUUAUUUGCUCCUCAAUAAGGAAUAGUUCUAAUUUGACUGAUAACUUUAGUUGUAUGAGUCAUCCUUAAUAGGAUGCCUGCCCCCAAACUCCUGAUGGUGAUAGCGGAUAUUUGUUAACCUGAGUUACAAAACUAUAUUGUAUGAAACUGUAGCAUUUGUUUCCUAUUCUGGGAAAAAUUUGUGGAGGGACCAUCUCUGUGUUCCCAGAACCUAGCACAGUACCUGGUGCAUAGUAAGUAUAUGUUGAGUAACAUUUGGUGAUUAAAAUGUGUAAAGUAGC